Non-coding RNA from Lophium mytilinum, 86 nucleotides. The record is from the annotation of a GenBank genome assembly. Lineage: Eukaryota; Fungi; Ascomycota; Dothideomycetes; Mytilinidiales; Mytilinidiaceae.
CUCGCCUUGGUGUAGUUGGUUUAUCACGUCGGGCUGUAAUUGCGCAUCAUACCUGAAGGUCCGCGGUUCGAUUCCGCGAGGCGAGA